UGGGGAAUAUUGGACAAUGGGCGAAAGCCUGAUCCAGCCAUGCCGCGUGUGUGAAGAAGGUCUUCGGAUUGUAAAGCACUUUAAGUUGGGAGGAAGGGCAUUAACCUAAUACGUUAGUGUUUUGACGUUACCGACAGAAUAAGCACCGGCUAACUCUGUGCCAGCAGCCGCGGUAAUACAGAGGGUGCAAGCGUUAAUCGGAAUUACUGGGCGUAAAGCGCGCGUAGGUGGUUUGUUAAGUUGGAUGUGAAAUUCCCGGGCUCAACCUGGGAACUGCAUUCAAAACUGACUGACUAGAGUAUGGUAGAGGGUGGUGGAAUUUCCUGUGUAGCGGUGAAAUGCGUAGAUAUAGGAAGGAACACCAGUGGCGAAGGCGACCACCUGGACUAAUACUGACACUGAGGUGCGAAAGCGUGGGGAGCAAACA
This 427-nucleotide ribosomal RNA is filed under the name uncultured bacterium. Its description in RNAcentral is "partial 16S ribosomal RNA". It matches the Rfam family "Bacterial small subunit ribosomal RNA", at positions 355 to 774 of the family's 1533-position model. The record is from RNAcentral.